RNAcentral lists this small RNA (205 nucleotides) under Pseudo-nitzschia pungens. RNAcentral describes it as "partial transfer-messenger RNA". It matches the Rfam family "transfer-messenger RNA", at positions 1 to 204 of the family's 374-position model. From Rfam's summary of the family: Bacterial tmRNA, also known as 10Sa RNA or SsrA, is named for its dual tRNA and mRNA-like properties. Its role is to liberate the mRNA from a stalled ribosome. To accomplish this part of the tmRNA is used as a reading frame that ends in a translation stop signal. Lineage: Eukaryota; Bacillariophyta; Bacillariophyceae; Bacillariales; Bacillariaceae. The record is from RNAcentral.
GGGGCUGAUCUAGGAUUCGACAGGAUUGAUGAUACCGGAUGGAGCACGUCGAGGGACGGUUUGCCUCGUAAAAAGCCGUAAAAAAAUAGUCGCAAACGACGAAAACUACGCACUAGCAGCUUAAUACCCUGCCAAGAGCUCUUUUGCCCUAGCUUCCGCUCGUAAGACGGGGAACAACAAAAGAUCAAAACCCAAACGAACUAGU